This 66-nucleotide transfer RNA is filed under the name Marmota monax (woodchuck). Its description in RNAcentral is "tRNA.Ala". Lineage: Eukaryota; Metazoa; Chordata; Mammalia; Rodentia; Sciuridae. The record is from RNAcentral.
GGUUGUGGCUCAGUGGUAGAGCGCUUGCCUAGCAUGUGGAGGCACUGGGUUUAAUUCUCAGCACCA